RNAcentral lists this transfer RNA (72 nucleotides) under Camelus bactrianus (Bactrian camel). It matches the Rfam family "tRNA". From Rfam's summary of the family: Transfer RNA (tRNA) molecules are approximately 80 nucleotides in length. Their secondary structure includes four short double-helical elements and three loops (D, anti-codon, and T loops). Further hydrogen bonds mediate the characteristic L-shaped molecular structure. tRNAs have two regions of fundamental functional importance: the anti-codon, which is responsible for specific mRNA codon recognition, and the 3' end, to which the tRNAs corresponding amino acid is attached (by aminoacyl-tRNA synthetases). tRNAs cope with the degeneracy of the genetic code in two manners: having more than one tRNA (with a specific anti-codon) for a particular amino acid; and 'wobble' base-pairing, i.e. permitting non-standard base-pairing at the 3rd anti-codon position. Lineage: Eukaryota; Metazoa; Chordata; Mammalia; Artiodactyla; Camelidae. The record is from Rfam by way of RNAcentral. RNAcentral also lists the same sequence under 1 other name.
GGGUGCAUAGCUCAGUGGUAGAGCAUGUGCUUAGCAGGUACAAGGUUCUGGGUUCAAUCCCCAGUAUCUCCA